This is a non-coding RNA of Thamnophis elegans (Western terrestrial garter snake), 2547 nucleotides long. NCBI's taxonomy places the organism in Eukaryota, Metazoa, Chordata, Lepidosauria, Squamata, Natricidae. The record is from the annotation of a RefSeq genome assembly.
ACAGUUUAAGGAAGAGGGCAAAUAUAUAUGUGUCGUGAUUGCUACCUCUGUUAAAACUGAAGGAGCCACCACUUUAGAUCUAGUUGGUGUUAUUUCAAUUGAAUGUUAAAUACAAAUGCUGUUUGGGAGGCUGAAAGGCAAAAUAAAAAACAACAUAUGUAGAAAAAUCAAUAACCAAUUCCAUUUUUAUUCAAAUGCAAUAUAGUUGAACCAACUGUCCAACUGUCUCCCAAGGAACUUGAAAUUGAAAACGGAAAUGUAAAGACACUGAGAUGUAGAGUGAAUAAAUUCUAUCCUGAUUCCAUUGCCAUUCUUUGGCAAAAGCAUUCUAAGCACAUGUCGGAUAAAGAUAUACUUGCAGAGGAUAUUUGCAUGGGAAGAUCUGUGAAAAAUGGUGAUGGCACUUACAACACCACCAGUAAACUGAGACUUCAACCAUCUUCACAAGACCAAGGAAACGUCUAUAGUUGUAUUGUGCAGCAUAAGUCAUUUGCCAGAUUUCCAGUCUACAAUGUAACUUUAACAGUAACAGAACCUUAUUCGACUACUCCAUUAACAAUUGGGCUGGUUUUAUGUUUUCUGAUUUCUUUUCUUCUAGUUGGAUUGCUGCUGUACAUUGUCUUUUUAAAGAAACAUGCACCAUCUGUGGAAAUGGUUGGAAGUGAGGAACUGAAGCAUUUGGAAGAAACAGAGGUGCAAUGCUUGAUUUCACACUUUCGACCCAAGCCUUUGCAGGUAGACCUCUUCUUAGUGACUGAACCUCAGAAAACAAAACAGAAAAUAGCCUCUUGGCCUACGACCUCAGUUGAAGAACCUACGGAAGAUGCUGAAAAUUCUCCUCUCCUCGGGAACUUGGAGGACAUGUUUAAAGCUCAUCCAGAGUUGAAAUCAAAACCAAAAAACUAUUAUGACUUCCAGUGGAAAAUCUGCCUGAAUCCAGAUGUACAGAAGCUGGAAAAAUUUCAACUUUUAUUAGAAAUUAAACACAAGGGCUUUCAGCAUGGAUUGUGUACUAAAACCAAAUCACUUAAAGUCAUAGCCUUACCAGAGCUUCAUGAAGUUCGUUGUUCCACAAAUAUGCCAAGAUCAAAUGAACCACUCACUCUUAGUUGCAAAAUUCAUUCUUAUUUUCCGGACUCCCUUGAAGUCUGUUGGACUAAUGAUGAUGGAAUUGUAGACAGUUCCCUUUCAACUCCACCCACAAAAGGUCCUGAUGGGCUUUACUUUUGCAUUAGCAAGAUCCACUAUUGCCCCCAAGUGGAAGAUUCUGGAAAGAAGUUUGUCUGCAAAGCUAAGCUUCAAAGACCACAAGUAUAUAAAGAAUCUGUAUGGCAGAUGAACACUUUGGUUGUGGCCCCCAAAGUUGACAAAAUCGAAUGUAAGCCCCCUGUUCCUGAGUGUGGGAAACCCAUCACAUUGAGUUGCUUAUUGACAGAAUACCAUCCACCUGAGUGUGACAUUUCUUGGAGAAAGGGCUUUGAAGAGCUCUUGGGUGCUGAAGUUAAAACAGGGGAGCCGCAGUUGGACAGAAUGUCAAAGCUGUACUCCAGGGCGAGUGAAAUAACCUUUACACCCAGCGCAGAAGACCAUGAAGUAGAAUUCUUUGUUGAAAUAAAUCAUUGCAAGAAAAUUGUACGGGAGGGAUAUAAAGUUAUGCUGAAAGAUUUUCCCAAACUUUCAAAUAUUGUUAUUGAACCAAGUGAUGCAGAUUAUGGACAAAGUGUAAAUUUAACUUGUGAUGUCACAGAUUUCUAUCCUAAUGAAAUUGAUACUCAGUGGCUCCUGGGAGAUAAUUCACCACCAAACAAUGCGGUCACAGAAGAUUUAGAGAUGGCCUGUAAUGGUUGUUACAAAUUAACUUCCAUGUUUAAACUAAGAGCUACUGCUUCAGUUUAUGAUAAGGCUAUUUGUUUCAGGAUGAACCAUACAAGAUUGACAAAGCCUAUUACAAGAAAAGUGUAUUUAAAACUUCCAGUCAAACAGCCUGUUUUGACUGAAAUAAAGGCAAGCCAAGAUCAUCAGAAUAUCCUCCUUGAAAUUUUGAUAUCACAAUUUGCACCUCAUGAUAUACAAGUCAGAUGGUACCAAGACUGGAGACAAAUAUCUGAAAAUAUCAAUCCCAGGGAUAUUGAUAUUGGAAAAGAUCACUUAUGUUAUUUUGUUAGUAAAAUAUACUUAAAUCCAAAAGAACUGCGCUUUGGGAAGACAAUACGAUGUGAAGUUAAACAUUCAACAUCUACUGAGGAAAAAAGCUUAACACUGAACACAACAGAUUUCUCUGAUCUUGAGGAAACCCAACAUCAUCACCAUGAGUUAUAACCAUUAUGAACUCCUUCAAAGUAAGCUCUCUGCAGAUGCAAUAACAGUUGGAAAAUAAUUAUGUUUUGCUACUUUUCUCGCUACAAAGUAAUAAGUCAAAAAAUUCCUAUCUUGGCUCAACCACACAGCUGAUAUCAAAGGUCUCUGAAAUCAACUCUAGCCAUUCCACUCACUGCUUUUGCUCAGGGAUGGCAGAUGUGAGUAUAUUGAAAGCCCAGGUGGCACCUU